Molecule: long non-coding RNA, 1955 nt
Filed under: Canis lupus familiaris (dog)
Lineage: Eukaryota; Metazoa; Chordata; Mammalia; Carnivora; Canidae
Description: lncRNA (ENSCAFG00000055282.1)
Source: RNAcentral
AUGAAAGAUAUAUGUGACAUUUGAAAAUUUAAAGUCUGGGUUAACAAUAACAGAGAGUGUACACUUGAAUCCGAUUCAUCUUCAUAUAUGAAACCCAAGUUGUGAUUUAAAUAAGUAAAUCUUGGUCUCACACUUAAAAACUUGAAUGUUAGUUACUUCCUCUAAAGUUAAAAUUAUUGUCUAUGAUUUGGGCAAGCAUUUGAAGUAAAAAGAAUUUUGUUUAUUGCAUUAAGUUAUGUUUAGUGUUGUAUAAUUAGGGAACUGUGAAUUUGAAUAAGGAAGACCUGAAUUAAAAAAAAAGGUGACAUUGUGCUACUAGUAAAAGAUUUCCAGCUAUAAUCUGAGAAACUCGUUUUCCUGAUUAAAUUCUUAGCACAUGCUAAAAAUCAACUUCUUACAAUGUUCUAUUACACAUGGAAUUCUUUUGAAAUAAUUUCAUGUUUUUUAUUAAUAUGAAAACUGUGCUCACUUUUUGGCUGAUUGCUAUUCAGUUAUUUCCUAUUUUGAAGUUGCAGGUUAAUAUUACUCAGAAGUUCUGUUUCUUCAUUGUUUAUUACCAAGAGGCUAAUGUCAUCUAGCAGAAAAAAAAAACCUCCAAACUUAGAAUAAGAAGAUAACUGUUAUGACUGACAAUGCUGCACUUGCUACACUUUGCCUCAGAUUUCUACAGGAAGCGCAAGAUGGAUUUUAUUACCACAGAAAAGCCAGACUUCACACCCGAAUGCCAGGCUCUGCCAGAGAAAAGGGGUUCGGGAGGAGCAGACACUGAAAAAAAAUCACAGGUAAAGCUUUGCUAUGUGAAAAGAAAGGUAAUGUAAGCUAACUAAAAAUUAGACUGCCAGCGAACGAGGAUGAUUUGACAAUGAAAUCAAAAAACAAUACAUUAAUUUUUUAAAAAGAUUUUAUUUAUUUAUUUAUUUAUUUAUUCAUGAGAGACACAGAGAGAGGCAGAGACACAGGCAGAGGGAGAAGCAGGCUCCAUGCAGGAGCCCGACGCGGGACUCGAUCCCGGGACCCCGGGGUCACGCCCUGGGCCGAAGGCAGACUCUCCACUACUGAGCCACCCAGGGAUCCCCAACAAUACGUUAAUUUUUAAGUAUAUGUUUAAAUAGGAUUGAAGAACGAUGAGGAAAGUUAAGAUAAGACACCAGUAUUUAAAAAUGAGAUUAAGAUACAUGAUAAUUAAAAGCCUCAAGUUCUUAUCCCGAGACAUCCUUGGCCACCUCCCCGUGUGAGAGAAGCGUCCACCGCUGGGCCUGGAGCCUGAGCGCCCUGCCGGCGUCCUCUCACGUUAGUGUGAUAUGGCACCGUAGCCAAGGCAGUCGCUAAGGAGCAUUUAGAACAAACAAAAGCUACGUCAAACUGUAAAAACCUGAGCAUUAUCGUUGAGUCGAAGAAUAAGGGGCAUGACACUGAGAAUCACGUCACGUGAAAAAUUUCCCGGGAGGAGGGGUCGUGCGAGCUGACUCCCUGCAGCCACAAGGCCAAGCGCCAGCAGCCCCGCUGGGACGGCGCUAACUAGCCCGGUCGACAGAAAGGACGAGUCCGGCCCCGUGGGCAGCGCGGCUGUGGCCCGGGCAAGGCCACCUGGUCUCUAGGGACUCCCAAGGGGUGAGCAGGAGCUUUGGGCCCUGGACGGUGCAGGUCCCACGGCCAGGGGCUGCCCCGGCCCCCGGCCCCACUUGGGCCCCGGAGGGGGCACAGCUGCCCUCGGUGGCGGUGGCCGUGGUCACCCCCGGUCCAGGGGAGCACAGCCACUAGGGAGCAAAGACACCCAGCAGCCCCCCUGCAACAUCUGCCCACAGGCUCUCAAGCAUUGUAAGGGCGGAACAGGGACCGCCUCGGCCUCAGCAAGAGGCCACCAAGCCACCAAGCUCACUUACCCACCAUUUCAGGGCCCCCCGGAUGCUGUGACAUUUGGAGGGCUUUUCAAAAGCAUCAAAACCCACAAACUG